CCAGGAUUCCACUCAGGAUACCACAGUACAUGUGGUUUUCAGCGCCUUCUCCAGAUUCCUGAACCCUUCUAGAUGUUGGAUCAAGACCACCGGCAUUAAGUGGGGAAUUAUGCUCCAUCCCCUUGAAGCUACAAGAUGCUCCGGACUCAUCCUGUUCACGUGGAAGGAGAAGAGCUGUUUCACUGAAGCCAGG
This is a long non-coding RNA of Myotis brandtii (Brandt's bat), 193 nucleotides long. RefSeq lists it as uncharacterized. The transcript has 3 exons. The record is from RefSeq and is a predicted model, not a curated record. NCBI's taxonomy places the organism in Eukaryota, Metazoa, Chordata, Mammalia, Chiroptera, Vespertilionidae.